This 449-nucleotide ribosomal RNA is filed under the name uncultured cyanobacterium. Its description in RNAcentral is "bacterial SSU rRNA". It matches the Rfam family "Bacterial small subunit ribosomal RNA", at positions 8 to 501 of the family's 1533-position model. The record is from RNAcentral. Lineage: Bacteria; Bacillati; Cyanobacteriota.
AGAGUUUGAUCAUGGCUCAGGAUGAACGCUGGCGGUCUGCUUAACACAUGCAAGUCGAACGGACUCUUCGGAGUUAGUGGCGGACGGGUGAGUAACGCGUGAGAAUCUACCUUCAGGACGGAGACAACAGUUGGAAACGACUGCUAACCCCCGAUGAACCGAAAGGGCAAAUAUUUAUAGCCUGAAGAAGAGCUCGCGUCCGAUUAGCUAGUUGGAGAGGUAAAAGCUCACCAAGGCGACGAUCGGUAGCUGGUCUGAGAGGACGAUCAGCCACACUGGGACUGAGACACGGCCCAGACUCCUACGGGAGGCAGCAGUGGGGAAUUUUCCGCAAUGGGCGAAAGCCUGACGGAGCAAGACCGCGUGAGGGAAGAAGGUCUGUGGAUUGUAAACCUCUUUUGAUCGGGAAGAAGACAGUGACGGUACCGAUCGAAUCAGCUCGAUCCGGC